Long non-coding RNA from Rhinolophus ferrumequinum (greater horseshoe bat), 663 nucleotides. RefSeq lists it as uncharacterized. The transcript has 6 exons. The record is from RefSeq and is a predicted model, not a curated record. Lineage: Eukaryota; Metazoa; Chordata; Mammalia; Chiroptera; Rhinolophidae.
CUGGCGGUUGGUUGUUUGGUUGCUCCCUGCCGUCGCAUCCUUCUUCGCAACCUCUGGUGCCUUCCUUUGCAAGCUCCGAGGCCAAUCUCAUAGACUCGAUAUCGGUUUCUGGUUUCCUAAGGAAGCUUCGGGUCGGCAGGUCCAUAGCCCUCUGCUAGGUUUCCUGCAGCUCCCAUCAAAAUACAAAGCCCACAUCAUCGCACUGAAACGACCUUCGUACCUGCUUCCCAACCUCUACACUAGUUGCUUAGCGACCCAUCCAACAGAAGUAAAAUACCAGAACCCUUCGUGCCGGUAAAGCACUGGGUGCAGUCUGACACAUGCAUCUUUCAUAUGGAUCCAGUAUUACUGCCACCAAAAAGUGUGGGCCAAAUUUAAUGACUUGCUUCUAAUGAAAAAAAACAUGGCAGAAGUGAGGACGUGAGACCUCCAAGACGUGCUCUUAAAAGGUGAACUUUUCCUGAAGCAACAAAUGUCAAAUAGCCCAGCUGACUAAAUGUGGGAACGACCAAAUCAUGCAAGGACAGGAGGUUUUCAGUCCUUUAAAUUCUGCCCCGAGGAUUUUCAAAACUGCAAUUAUCCUGAUGGGAAAACCAGCCUCCUGUCUGAUGACCCUCCAGUCUCUAAUGUUGUCACUCCAGGUUCAUGAGAUGGCCAAGAACU